GAGGAAUAUUGGACAAUGGAUGGAAAUCUGAUCCAGCCAUGCCGCGUGCAGGAAGACGGCCCUAUGGGUUGUAAACUGCUUUUGUAUGGGAGCAAUAAGGACUACGUGUAGUUUGAUGAGAGUACCAUACGAAUAAGCAUCGGCUAACUCCGUGCCAGCAGCCGCGGUAAUACGGAGGAUCCGAGCGUUAUCCGGAUUUAUUGGGUUUAAAGGGUGCGUAGGUGGUUUGAUAAGUCAGCGGUGAAAGUUUGCAGCUUAACUGUAAAAAUGCCGUUGAAACUGUCGCACUUGAGUGUAAAUGAGGUAGGCGGAAUGCGUGGUGUAGCGGUGAAAUGCAUAGAUAUCACGCAGAACUCCGAUUGCGAAGGCAGCUUACUAAGCUACAACUGACACUGAAGCACGAAAGCGUGGGGAUCAAACA
RNAcentral lists this ribosomal RNA (421 nucleotides) under uncultured bacterium. Its description in RNAcentral is "bacterial SSU rRNA". It matches the Rfam family "Bacterial small subunit ribosomal RNA", at positions 356 to 774 of the family's 1533-position model. The record is from RNAcentral.